RNA transcript from Budorcas taxicolor (takin), 2123 nucleotides. It is a transcript of the gene named MUS81 structure-specific endonuclease subunit, with no coding region annotated. The transcript is spliced from 16 exons. NCBI's taxonomy places the organism in Eukaryota, Metazoa, Chordata, Mammalia, Artiodactyla, Bovidae. The record is from RefSeq and is a predicted model, not a curated record.
GCGCGUCCAAAAGGCUGGUCCUGUCUGGGAACGGCGGGAGGUUGAAAGGUGGUAGAUACAGCAAUCGGUACCAACCACUUAAGAGUAGUACAGGGGCGGGGAGGGCGGCAGAAGGCUGUCCUCUGGUUGAUGCCCCGCGUUGGGACCACGUGAUUAGAGCGGUCCCGCCCUCCUCCCCCGGAACCAGGUGUUCGAAUCCCGUCUCCAGAACUAGCAGCAUCUCAGUCCUACCGGCGUGAGGCGCCAGAGGAACCGCCCUGCGGCUCAUGGCAGCGCCCGUCCGGCUGGGCCGGAAACGCCCGCUGCCUGUUUGCCCCAACCCUCUCUUCGUACGCUGGCUAACCGAGUGGCGGGACGAGGCAGCCAGCAGAGGGCGCCGCACGCAAUUUGUGUUUCAGAAGGCGCUGCGCUCCCUCCGGCGGUAUCCACUGCCCCUGCGCAGCGGCAAGGAAGCUAAGAUCCUCCAGCACUUCGGAGACGGGCUUUGCCGUAUGUUGGACCGGCGACUGCAGCAGCACAAAGCAUCAGCUGGUGACCAUGCCCCGUAUUCACCGUCCGGAACCAAGAGCCCAGUCCGGGAAAGGCCACCUGCUGAAGUCCAGGACUCUUCCAUACCAGUCCCAACCCAGCUUAAAGCAGGAGGGCCUGGCAGCUAUUGGCCAACUCGGCACUCGGGAGCACGUGCAGUCCUGGUGCAGCUGUACAGGGAGCACCUGAAUCCUAGCGGCCAGGGCUUCCUCACCAAGGGGGAGCUGUUGAAGAGGUGUGACCCAAAGGUUCCCAGGGUGGCCUCUGGAAGUGCUCGCCCCUGGCCAGCCCUCCGUUCCCUCCUCCACAGGAACCUGGUCCUCAGGACACACCAGCCAGCUAGGUACUCACUGACCCCGCAGGGUCUGGAGCUGGCCCAGAAGCUGGCUGACUCAGAGGGCCUGAGCUUGCUGAAUGUGGGCAGCGGGCCGGAGGAGCCCCCUGGGGAGGAGCCUGAAGUGCCAGAAGCGGCUUCCGCUGAGCUUGGUGCCAGUGAAGGGAGCGCCCAACAGCCCCCGCUGGAGCUGGGGCCUGGAGAGUACAGGGUGUUGUUGUGUGUGGACGUCGGCGAGACCAAGGGGGCGGGCCAUAGGCCAGACCUGCUCCGAGAGCUGCAGCGGCUGCACGUGACACACAUGGUACGCAAGCUGCACGUUGGGGACUUCGUGUGGGUAGCCCAAGAGACCAGUCCCAGAGACCCAGCACGACCUGCAGAGCUAGUCCUGGACCACAUCGUGGAGCGAAAGCGGCUGGAUGACCUGUGCAGCAGCAUCAUCGAUGGCCGCUUCCGGGAGCAGAAGUUCCGGCUGAAGCGCUGUGGCCUGGGGCGCCGAGUGUACCUGGUGGAGGAGCACGGUUCGGCACACAGCCUCAGCCUCCCUGAGAGCACACUGCUGCAGGCUGUCAUCAACACCCAGGUCAUCGACGGCUUCUUUGUGAAGCGCACAGCGGACAUUAAGGAGUCGGCUGCCUACCUGGCCCUGUUGACACGGGGCCUGCAGAGGCUCUACCAGCGACUUCAACACGGGAGCCAUGAAGAACAAGGCCCAGUCUGUGCGGGAUGUGUUUGCCAGGCAGCUCAUGCAGGUGCGCGGGGUGAGCGGGGAGAAGGCAGCAGCCCUGGUGGCCCGGUACAGCACCCCUGCCAGCUUACUGGCCGCCUAUGAUGCCUGUGCCACCCCGAAGGAACAGGAAAUGCUGCUGAGCACCAUCAAGUGUGGGCCGCUGCAGAGGAAUCUGGGGCCCGUUCUGAGCAGGACCUUGUCACAGCUCUACUGCAGCUAUGGCCCCCUGACCUGAGCUAUGUAUGCCGCAAGACAGACCCCCAUCUUCCCAGACUACCCAGUCUUUUAACCAGAAUCUUUGGGCUACAGUAAAUCUUAAGUGUUUGCAUUUCUACGUGUUAGAAGGGGAUACCAGGCCCCAGGGGUCUUGAAAAAUAUCUAGGAACUGGGGAGACUGUCAUGUCCAGUUUUUAAAACUGAGCUCCUCGGGACCCUUGGGGUUCCCUUUCAGAGCACUGCUAGGGAGACGGAGUCAGUGAGGCAUUGCAACGUUGAAUCGAGUUCAUGUCAUCAGAGUUCUCUGAUCAAAUA